CGGCAAUGCGGCAGCUACCAUGCAGUCGAGCGAUGAACUGCUUUUUGCUGGGGGGAUGAGGGGCACGGGUGCGAGUCACGCGUGCGUCCCUGCUUUUAUCUCGGGUAUACGUCCGGAAAGAUGGGUCUACCCCGGAUAUGACUCCUGUCUCAUGGUGGGUGGAGGACUGCUUUUUGUGGUUUUGGAUGGACUCAAGACCAAACAGCUGGUGGGGGAGGUAAUGGCUCACCAAGGGAACUACGGGGGGCCGGACUGGGAGGGUGACCGGCUGACUGGGACUGAGACACGGCACUCACUCCUACGGGAGGCAGCAGUGGGGAAUAUUGCUGAGUGGGAGCAAGCCUGAUGCAUCGAGGCCGCGUGAGGGAUGACGGCCUUCUGGUUGUAUUCUUCUUUCAAUAGGGAAGAAUUUCCAGUGACGGUACCUGCAAAGUAAUGGCCGGCUAACUACCUGCCAACAGCCGGCGUAAUACCUAGGGCGUACGCGUUAUCCGGAAUUAUUGGGCGUAAAGAGCUCGUAGGCGGUUUGUCGCGUCUGCUGUGAAAGUCCGGGGCUCAACUCCAGAUCUGCUGUGGGUACGGGCAGACUACAGCGAUGUAUGGGAGACUGGAAUUCCUGGUGUAGCGGUGAAAUGCGCAUAUAUCACGAAGAACACCGAUGGAAAACGAAUGUCUCUGGCCGUUCACUGACGCUGAACAGCGAAUGAUGGACGAGCGAACAGGAUUAGAUACCCUGUUAGACCAUGCCGUAUACGUCGCCGCACUACGAGUGGAGGACAUUCUACGUUUUCCGCGCUCAUACUAACACAUAAAGUGCCCCUUCAGGCGAGUGCCGACGCAGGCUCAAACUCGAAUGAAUUGCCCGGUGACCGGCACAACCAGCGGACCAUGCAUAUAUAUUCUAUGCUACUCGAAACAACCUUACCAAUGCCUUGACACUGUAACGGACCAGUCGCCGAAAUUUGGAUUUCCCCUCUUGGGUCCGGU
This 987-nucleotide ribosomal RNA is filed under the name Arthrobacter ramosus. RNAcentral describes it as "bacterial SSU rRNA". It matches the Rfam family "Bacterial small subunit ribosomal RNA", at positions 36 to 1031 of the family's 1533-position model. Lineage: Bacteria; Bacillati; Actinomycetota; Actinomycetes; Micrococcales; Micrococcaceae. The record is from RNAcentral.